GGUCCGUAUGUGGUUUAUGUUGUAGCGGAUGGCGUGCCGAGCAUUGGGGUAUUUGUGAUGGUUGAAGCGAAGCGUUAGAUGGUUCAAGUAGUUGCUGGAGGUAAAUGGGAACUAGUGGCAUCUUUCUGCUUUUCUUUUCUUUAUUCUUUUCUUCUUUUCUCCUUGUUUCACCCCUUUCCUUCAUCUUCGAUCUUUGGGGGAGUUUUGGUUGAACGUUGAGGCGCUUAUCUUUCUCUUUGGCAAACAUUGAGCAAACCAGAAAAAAAAGUCCAGCAGCAUUUUGGCUGAUUCGGUAAACUUGAAUAUCGAUGAAAAAGUUAGCUUGAUGUUAGUCUGAAGACAUUGAACCCCCAUUCUCAAGCUCCCACUGCAAAGUUCAGGAACUCGGAUAAUGGAUUAUCCGCCCACUCAUCGACAAAGCUCCGCGCCAACUUUUAUAAAUCCACAGACCAUGCACAGGCCCGAGAGAGAUGGUUUGAGCUAGAAAAUGAUUAUUGCUUUGAGUCCUAAUGAUGUUUGGGAUGACUGCUGUAUUCCCUGGAAAGUUCAACAUUUUCCUUCUUGGGUUUCCCACCCAUCCAUUGUAAAGCCUACCUCUUCCUGGGAUUCUGCAUGAAAUGCCAAUGGCAUUUGUGAUUUCGUCGGCAAAUAGCCGUAUUUGAAGAAUAUGUUUUCAUUAUCCAUCUUCCUUUACCUGGGGGAACUCAAUGUAAUGUCUUAUCAAAAGCAAUACCGCAUCACACUUCCUUUUGCAGUGAUACACUACUGCAUGACAUUCUUAUGGCCA
This 787-nucleotide small RNA is filed under the name Histoplasma capsulatum var. duboisii H88. RNAcentral's name for it is "Histoplasma capsulatum H88 hypothetical RNA". The record is from RNAcentral. Lineage: Eukaryota; Fungi; Ascomycota; Eurotiomycetes; Onygenales; Ajellomycetaceae.